Molecule: ribosomal RNA, 362 nt
Filed under: Staphylococcus saprophyticus
Lineage: Bacteria; Bacillati; Bacillota; Bacilli; Caryophanales; Staphylococcaceae
Description: bacterial SSU rRNA
Rfam family: Bacterial small subunit ribosomal RNA
Source: RNAcentral
UUUAUGGAGAGUUUGAUCCUGGCUCAGGAUGAACGCUGGCGGCGUGCCUAAUACAUGCAAGUCGAGCGAACAGAUAAGGAGCUUGCUCCUUUGACGUUAGCGGCGGACGGGUGAGUAACACGUGGGUAACCUACCUAUAAGACUGGGAUAACUUCGGGAAACCGGAGCUAAUACCGGAUAACAUUUGGAACCGCAUGGUUCUAAAGUGAAAGAUGGUUUUGCUAUCACUUAUAGAUGGACCCGCGCCGUAUUAGCUAGUUGGUAAGGUAACGGCUUACCAAGGCAACGAUACGUAGCCGACCUGAGAGGGUGAUCGGCCACACUGGAACUGAGACACGGUCCAGACUCCUACGGGAGGCAGC